This 694-nucleotide ribosomal RNA is filed under the name uncultured Lachnospiraceae bacterium. Its description in RNAcentral is "bacterial SSU rRNA". It matches the Rfam family "Bacterial small subunit ribosomal RNA", at positions 54 to 749 of the family's 1533-position model. Lineage: Bacteria; Bacillati; Bacillota; Clostridia; Lachnospirales; Lachnospiraceae. The record is from RNAcentral.
CAUGCAAGUCGAACGGGAAACCUUUUAUUGAAGCUUCGGCAGAUUUAGAUUGUUUCUAGUGGCGGACGGGUGAGUAACGCGUGGGUAACCUGCCUUAUACAGGGGGAUAACAGUCAGAAAUGACUGCUAAUACCGCAUAAGCGCACAGGACCGCAUGGUCCGGUGUGAAAAACUCCGGUGGUAUAAGAUGGACCCGCGUUGGAUUAGCUAGUUGGUGAGGUAACGGCCCACCAAGGCAACGAUCCAUAGCCGGCCUGAGAGGGUGAACGGCCACAUUGGGACUGAGACACGGCCCAGACUCCUACGGGAGGCAGCAGUGGGGAAUAUUGCACAAUGGGGGAAACCCUGAUGCAGCGACGCCGCGUGAAGGAAGAAGUAUCUCGGUAUGUAAACUUCUAUCAGCAGGGAAGAAAAUGACGGUACCUGACUAAGAAGCCCCGGCUAACUACGUGCCAGCAGCCGCGGUAAUACGUAGGGGGCAAGCGUUAUCCGGAUUUACUGGGUGUAAAGGGAGCGUAGACGGAUGGACAAGUCUGAUGUGAAAGGCUGGGGCUCAACCCCGGGACUGCAUUGGAAACUGCCCGUCUUGAGUGCCGGAGAGGUAAGCGGAAUUCCUAGUGUAGCGGUGAAAUGCGUAGAUAUUAGGAGGAACACCAGUGGCGAAGGCGGCUUACUGGACGGUAACUGACGUUGA